RNAcentral lists this ribosomal RNA (376 nucleotides) under uncultured bacterium. Its description in RNAcentral is "bacterial SSU rRNA". It matches the Rfam family "Bacterial small subunit ribosomal RNA", at positions 30 to 386 of the family's 1533-position model. The record is from RNAcentral.
AGUGAACGCUGGCGGCAGGCCUAACACAUGCAAGUCGAGCGGCAGCGGGUUCCCGCGAGGGGAUGCCGGCGAGCGGCGGACGGGUGAGGAACACAUCGGAAUCUGCCUGGUUGUGGGGGAUAACGUAGGGAAACUUACGCUAAUACCGCAUGAGACCCUGAGUCGACGGACUGGGGGUGAAAGUGAGGGACCUUCGGGCCUCACGCGACCAGAUGAGCCGAUGUCGGAUUAGCUAGUUGGCGGGGUAACGGCCCGCCAAGGCGACGAUCCGUAGCUGGUCUGAGAGGAUGAUCAGCCACACUGGGACUGAGACACGGGCCCAGACUCCUACGGGGAGGCAGCAGUGGGGAAUCUUGGACAAUGGGCGCAAGCCUGA